ACGUAUGGUGCAAGCGUUAUCCGGAUUUACUGGGUGUAAAGGGAGCGCAGGCGGUGCGGCAAGUCUGAUGUGAAAGCCCGGGGCUCAACCCCGGUACUGCAUUGGAAACUGUCGUACUAGAGUGUCGGAGGGGCAAGCGGAAUUCCUAGUGUAGCGGUGAAAUGCGUAGAUAUUAGGAGGAACACCAGUGGCGAAGGCGGCUUACUGGACGAUAACUGACGCUGAGGCUCGAAAGCGUGGGGAGCAAACAG
RNAcentral lists this ribosomal RNA (251 nucleotides) under uncultured bacterium. RNAcentral's name for it is "partial 16S ribosomal RNA". It matches the Rfam family "Bacterial small subunit ribosomal RNA", at positions 525 to 775 of the family's 1533-position model. The record is from RNAcentral.